This 355-nucleotide ribosomal RNA is filed under the name uncultured bacterium. Its description in RNAcentral is "bacterial SSU rRNA". It matches the Rfam family "Bacterial small subunit ribosomal RNA", at positions 427 to 793 of the family's 1533-position model. The record is from RNAcentral.
AAAGCUCUGUCCUCAAGGAAGAAUAAAUGACGGUACUUGAGGAGGAAGACCCCGGCUAACUACGUGCCAGCAGCCGCGGUAAUACGUAGGGGGCAAGCGUUAUCCGGAAUCACUGGGCGUAAAGGGGUGCGUAGGCGGGUUUUCAAGUCAGAAGUGAAAGGCUAUGGCUCAACCAUAGUAAGCUUUUGUAAACUAGUUAAACUUGAGUGCAGGAGAGGAAAGUGGAAUUCCUAGUGUAGAGGUGAAAUUCGUAGAUAUUUAGGAGGAACACCAGUGGCGAAGGCGACUUUCUGGACUGUAACUGACGCUGAGGCACGAAAGCGUGGGGAGCGAACAGGAUUAGAUACCCUGGUAG